UGACCUCGGAUCAGGUAGGAAUACCCGCUGAACUUAAGCAUAUCAAUAAGCGGAGGAAAAGAAACCAACAGGGAUUGCCUCAGUAACGGCGAGUGAAGCGGCAACAGCUCAAAUUUGAAAUCUGGCCCCAGGCCCGAGUUGUAAUUUGCAGAGGAUGCUUUUGGCGCGGUGCCUUCCGAGUUCCCUGGAACGGGACGCCAUAGAGGGUGAGAGCCCCGUCUGGUUGGACACCAAGCCUCUGUAAAGCUCCUUCGACGAGUCGAGUAGUUUGGGAAUGCUGCUCAAAAUGGGAGGUAUAUGUCUUCUAAAGCUAAAUACCGGCCAGAGACCGAUAGCGCACAAGUAGAGUGAUCGAAAGAUGAAAAGCACUUUGAAAAGAGAGUUAAAUAGCACGUGAAAUUGUUAAAAGGGAAGCGUUUAUGACCAGACUUGGGCCGGUUAAUCAUCCAGCGUUCUCGCUGGUGCACUUUGCCGGUCCAGGCCAGCAUCAGUUCGUCGCGGGGGAUAAAGGCGUCGGGAAUGUGGCUCCUCGGAGUGUUAUAGCCCUUCGCGCAAUACCCUGCGGUGGACUGAGGUUCGCGCUCUGCAAGGAUGCUGGCGUAAUGGUCAUCAACGACCCGUCU
This 623-nucleotide ribosomal RNA is filed under the name Stachybotrys echinatus. RNAcentral describes it as "eukaryotic LSU rRNA". It matches the Rfam family "Eukaryotic large subunit ribosomal RNA", at positions 1 to 654 of the family's 3401-position model. Lineage: Eukaryota; Fungi; Ascomycota; Sordariomycetes; Hypocreales; Stachybotryaceae. The record is from RNAcentral.